This 465-nucleotide ribosomal RNA is filed under the name uncultured bacterium. Its description in RNAcentral is "bacterial SSU rRNA". It matches the Rfam family "Bacterial small subunit ribosomal RNA", at positions 28 to 507 of the family's 1533-position model. The record is from RNAcentral.
GAUGAACGCUGGCGGCGUGCUUAACACAUGCAAGUCGAACGGAGUUACAUGAAACCUAGUGAUUGUAACUUAGUGGCGGACGGGUGAGUAACGCGUGGGUAACCUGCCUUAUACAGGGGGAUAACAGUUAGAAAUGACUGCUAAUACCGCAUAAGCGCACAGUAUCGCAUGAUACGGUGUGAAAAGCCGAGACGGUAUAAGAUGGACCCGCGUCUGAUUAGAUAGUUGGUGAGGUAACGGCUCACCAAGUCUACGAUCGGUAGCCGAACUGAGAGGUUGAUCGGCCACAUUGGGACUGAGACACGGCCCAGACUCCUACGGGAGGCAGCAGUGGGGGAUAUUGCGCAAUGGGGGCAACCUGACGCAGCAACGCCGCGUGAAUGAAGAAGGUUUUCGGAUCGUAAAGUUCUUUAAGUGUGGAAGAAGAUGACGGUACACACAGAAUAAGCCACGGCUAACUACGUG